GCCUGUAGCCUUGCCUGGAGUUGUUGUGGCCAAAGUGCAGGACCUGGCAUUUGGUCUUGUUGAACCUCAUCCCAUUGGCUUCAGCCCAGCUAUCCAACCUAUCAAGAUCCCUCUGUAAGGCCUUGCUCCCCUCAGGCAGAUCAACACUUCCAGCCAGCUUGGUGUCAUCUGCAAACUUACUGAGGGUGCACUCAGUGCCCUCAUCCAGGUCAUCAAUAAAGAUAUUAAAUAGGACAGGCCCCAGCACCGACCCCUGGGGAACACCACUCAUGACAGGUCGCCAGCUGGAUUUAACUGCAUUCACCACCACUCUCUGGGCCCAGCCCUCCAGCCAGUUCCUUACCCAGCCAAGCGUGUAUCUGUCCAAGCCACGGACUGCCAGCUUCUGCAGGAGAAUACUGUGGGAGACAGUGUCAAAGGCUUUGCUGAAAUCUAGGUAGACUACAUCAACAGCCUUUCCCUCAUCCACCAGAUGGGUCACUAGAUCAUAGAAGGAGAUCAGGUUGGUCAAGCAGGAGCUGGCCUUCGUGAACCCAUGCUGGCUAGGCCUGAUUCCCCGGUUGUCCUGCAUGUGCCGCGUGAUCUCCCUCAAGACAAUCUGCUCCAUAAUCUUCCCCGGCACCGAGGUCAGGCUAACAGGCCUGUAGUUCCCCGGAUCCUCCCUGCAGCCCUUCUUGUAGAUGGGAGUCACAUUGGCAAGCCUCCAGUCUUCUGG
RNAcentral lists this long non-coding RNA (715 nucleotides) under Gallus gallus (chicken). RNAcentral describes it as "lncRNA (ENSGALG00010000908.1)". Lineage: Eukaryota; Metazoa; Chordata; Aves; Galliformes; Phasianidae. The record is from RNAcentral.